This 756-nucleotide long non-coding RNA is filed under the name Ictidomys tridecemlineatus (thirteen-lined ground squirrel). RNAcentral's name for it is "lncRNA (ENSSTOG00000032122.1)". The record is from RNAcentral. Lineage: Eukaryota; Metazoa; Chordata; Mammalia; Rodentia; Sciuridae.
AUGGCAGUUCUUGCAUACUUUCUUGCCUUUCCAGUUGCUGGGAUUACAGGUGUGCACCACCCUGCCUAUCUUCAAGUCAAUAGUUAUUGGUAUCCCCAUUCUACGGUUAUAAAAGUGCUCUGUCAGAAAAUUAGGAUCCAGGAGAUACUGAAUGCCCUGUCAGGCAAUUUGGGAAUACUGGUUGGAAAAAAAAAAGAGGGACAUCUAGGGAAGGCAUGGGACUGUCUGACAACCAUCAUUUACCACCUUGGAAUGAAUCAGUGUUCUCUACAAUUAUACAAACCCAAGAUCAUCUCAAGGGCAAUGGAAUUUUCCAAUUGGGAGUGCACUGUACCUGCCCACAGCAGUCCUACAUACUUCCAUGACAGUAACUUUUAUUUCCUCCAUGUCCAACGAAGUUUAUUGCACCUACCAACUGAUUUUCAUCCAAAGCAUCCAAGAGGGGCCAUAAAUCUAAAGGUAAGAUAGGCCACAAUAAACUUUACCAGGAUGAAUGACAUUUAGAGACAUGACUGAUAUGCACAGCCCAAGUAGUCUUUCCUGGGGCACAAACAGACAUGUGUACAAGUCUUGGCUCAACUGGACUGUCAAUUCUCAUUAACCUCCAAGUCCUUACACUCUCUUCUUUCUCUGCUUUCUGCCCACAUCCUUGCAACCUUUUAAGACAACAUAUGUCUUAGAGAAAAUGAGAACAUGAUUCUGAUAUUCAUUCCCACUCUAAAAUGAAAACAAAAAAAAUACCAAAUAAACAAUAUU